Molecule: ribosomal RNA, 482 nt
Filed under: uncultured bacterium
Lineage: Bacteria
Description: partial 16S ribosomal RNA
Rfam family: Bacterial small subunit ribosomal RNA
Source: RNAcentral
GACGAACGCUGGCGGCGUGCUUAACACAUGCAAGUCGAACGCUGAAGCUCAGCUUUUGUUGGGUGGAUGAGUGGCGAACGGGUGAGUAACACGUGAGUAACCUGCCUCCUUCUUUGGGAUAACGCCCGGAAACGGGUGCUAAUACUGGAUAUUCACUGGUCUUCGCAUGGGGGUUGGUGGAAAGGGUUUUUCUGGUGGGGGAUGGGCUCGCGGCCUAUCAGCUUGUUGGUGGGGUGAUGGCCUACCAAGGCUUUGACGGGUAGCCGGCCGGAGAGGGUGACCGGUCGCAUUGGGGCUGAGAUGCGGCCCAGACUCCGACGGGAGGCCGCAGGGGGGCAGAUGGCGCAAUGGGCGCAAGCCGGAUGCAGCGACGCCGCGGGAGGGAUGGGGGCCUUCGGGUGGUGAACCGCUUUCGCUCAUGGUCAAGCCGCAACAAUGGUUGUGGUGAGGGUAGUGGGUAAAGAAGCGCCGGCUAACUACGU